CUACGGGGUGCUCCAGUCGAGAAUCUUCCGCAAUGGACGAAAGUCUGACGGAGCGACGCCGCGUGCGGGAUGAAGGCCUUCGGGUUGUAAACCGCUGUCAGUGGGGAGGAAAUGCAUCAGGGUUCUCCCUGGUGUUUGACCGAUCCGCAGAGGAAGCGCAGGCUAAGUUCGUGCCAGCAGCCGCGGUAACACGAACUGCGCGAACGUUAUUCGGAAUCACUGGGCUUAAAGAGUUCGUAGGCGGCCUUUCAAGUCGGGUGUGAAAUCCCUCGGCUCAACCGAGGAAUUGCGCCUGAUACUGUUGGGCUUGAGGGGGAUAGGGGUGAGCGGAACUGAUGGUGGAGCGGUGAAAUGCGUUGAUAUCAUCAGGAACACCGGUGGCGAAGGCGGCUCACUGGAUCUCUUCUGACGCUGAGGAACGAAAGCUAGGGGAGCGAACGGGAUUAGAUACCCUCGUAGUC
RNAcentral lists this ribosomal RNA (461 nucleotides) under uncultured bacterium. RNAcentral describes it as "partial 16S ribosomal RNA". It matches the Rfam family "Bacterial small subunit ribosomal RNA", at positions 339 to 795 of the family's 1533-position model. The record is from RNAcentral.